RNAcentral lists this ribosomal RNA (489 nucleotides) under Triticum aestivum (bread wheat). RNAcentral describes it as "partial small subunit ribosomal RNA". Lineage: Eukaryota; Viridiplantae; Streptophyta; Magnoliopsida; Poales; Poaceae. The record is from RNAcentral.
AUGGCGACGUCCAUGCUUCGAUCUGCCCUCGCGCUCCGGCGAUCGGCAAGUCUGAGGCUUCUGGUUCGCAUCCCCUUGAGCUCUGCGUCGGCUGUAUCCUUCAGCAGCAACACCGCCUCCUCCGGCAAGGGUGAGGACGCCGGCGGCCGGUCUGAGAAGCGUCAUACCGAUAAGAAAGAUGACGAGUCAACUGCAGCAAGGAGGCGAAGCAAACAAAACGGACAUGGCAUCUCCCGAAGCCUGUUUGAUGAUUUUGAUGAUUCUGAUUGGGAGAUGGCGGCGCUUUUGGACGACGACAAGCCUCCCCGAGGAUCUUCCACUGGACAAGACUCUACCAAGGACUCCUCCUCCUCCUCCUCCUCUGCGGCGGCAGAGUCGGACGUGUCCUCGCCAUCAUUAGGGGGCUUCUGGGACUCCGGAAGCUCUUCAUCAUGGGGUUCGGGAGGAGGGGACUCGUGGUCAGGAGGAGGGGGAUUCUCGGGAGACUAG